GCCUAACACAUGCAAGUCGAACGGGCAGCACAGGAGAGCUUGCUCUCUGGGUGGCGAGUGGCGGACGGGUGAGGAAUACAUCGGAAUCUACUCUGUCGUGGGGGAUAACGUAGGGAAACUUACGCUAAUACCGCAUACGACCUACGGGUGAAAGCAGGGGAUCUUCGGACCUUGCGCGAUUGAAUGAGCCGAUGUCGGAUUAGCUAGUUGGCGGGGUAAAGGCCCACCAAGGCGACGAUCCGUAGCUGGUCUGAGAGGAUGAUCAGCCACACUGGAACUGAGACACGGUCCAGACUCCUACGGGAGGCAGCAGUGGGGAAUAUUGGACAAUGGGCGCAAGCCUGAUCCAGCCAUACCGCGUGGGUGAAGAAGGCCUUCGGGUUGUAAAGCCCUUUUGUUGGGAAAGAAAUCCAGCUGGCUAAUACCCGGUUGGGAUGACGGUACCCAAAGAAUAAGCACCGGCUAACUUCGUGCCAGCAGCCGCGGUAAUACGAAGGGUGCAAGCGUUACUCGGAAUUACUGGGCGUAAAGCGUGCGUAGGUGGUCGUUUAAGUCCGUUGUGAAAGCCCUGGGCUCAACCUGGGAACUGCAGUGGAUACUGGGCGACUAGAGUGUGGUA
RNAcentral lists this ribosomal RNA (619 nucleotides) under uncultured Pseudomonadota bacterium. RNAcentral describes it as "bacterial SSU rRNA". It matches the Rfam family "Bacterial small subunit ribosomal RNA", at positions 46 to 653 of the family's 1533-position model. The record is from RNAcentral. Lineage: Bacteria; Pseudomonadati; Pseudomonadota.